This 413-nucleotide ribosomal RNA is filed under the name uncultured Gemmata sp. RNAcentral's name for it is "bacterial SSU rRNA". It matches the Rfam family "Bacterial small subunit ribosomal RNA", at positions 355 to 774 of the family's 1533-position model. Lineage: Bacteria; Pseudomonadati; Planctomycetota; Planctomycetia; Gemmatales; Gemmataceae. The record is from RNAcentral.
UCGAGGAUCUUCGGCAAUGAGCGCAAGCUUGACCGAGCGACGCCGCGUGAGCGAUGAAGGCCUUCGGGUUGUAAAGCUCUUUAGUGGGGGAGAAAAGCCAGCAAUGGUGUGAUCUAUCCCAAAAAUAAGCACGGGCUAAGUUCGUGCCAGCAGCCGCGGUAAGACGAACCGUGCGAACGUUGUUCGGAAUAACUGGGCUUAAAGGGAGCGUAGGCGGGCUAACAAGUCUGGGGUGAAAUCCCGCGGCUCAACCGUGGAACUGCCUUAGAUACUGUCGGCCUCGAGGGAGAUAGGGGCAUGCGGAACUAACGGUGGAGCGGUGAAAUGCGUUGAUAUCGUUAGGAACUCCGGUGGCGAAAGCGGCGUGCUGGAUCUCUUCUGACGCUGAGGCUCGAAAGCUAGGGGAGCAAACG